UGUGCAUUUAAACCCGAGAGGAUGAGAACCUCCGGGGGAAGAGAUUCGACUCGAGCGAAGCGAGAGAACGUUGCGCAGCAACGGCCCGAAGGGCGAGCCACGCAGUGGCGAGUUAUCCUCUAUCACCGACCA
This 132-nucleotide small RNA is filed under the name Trabulsiella odontotermitis. RNAcentral describes it as "RtT sRNA". It matches the Rfam family "RtT RNA". Rfam says of the family: This family represents a bacterial cis-regulatory element known as RtT RNA. The exact function of RtT is unknown although it is thought that it may be involved in changing the cellular response in relation to amino acid starvation. Lineage: Bacteria; Pseudomonadati; Pseudomonadota; Gammaproteobacteria; Enterobacterales; Enterobacteriaceae. The record is from RNAcentral.